This is a long non-coding RNA of Rosa rugosa (rugosa rose), 7431 nucleotides long. RefSeq lists it as uncharacterized. The transcript has 2 exons. The record is from RefSeq and is a predicted model, not a curated record. Lineage: Eukaryota; Viridiplantae; Streptophyta; Magnoliopsida; Rosales; Rosaceae.
CCUAAAAGAAAACAUGAGUCACGCAGCAACAUUUCAAACAAAUGUUAUCUCAACAAAUCCAUGUGAAAUGAACGUCCCUCAUGGACAAUAAAAGAAAGAAUACAGUCAAGACUUCUUUUAAAAACUAUUCAUGAGUCGCAAUAACUAUGUAGUUACCCCUAUGAAUAAAUUAGAAGACAGACUAGAGCUCUAACUAGAUCAUAAUCAUUCACCCAAGGGCAUAAUUCCCGAUUUCCUUACCAGCGUCACAUUAGACCCUAGGUCACACUAGACUGAAAACAUUCAAAGAGGUCACACUAGACCGAAAACAUUUAAGAAUGUCACACUAGACCCAUGACCACACAAGACCAAAAACAUUUAAACAGGUCACACUAGACCCAAAAAUGUUUCACAAAACUCAUGAUUUAAAAUGAUGUGAUAAUUGUACACUUUACAACUAUCGUUUCCACAACUCAAAGCACUAUCAAAACAAUAUAAAUCAUCUUUUCACAAUAUAUUGUUUUCCUCAAAGAAUCAAAUUAAAACAAUCAAAUGAUCCAAAUUGCAAAUAUUGUUUUCACCACAAUACAAUUCUGCAAAUAUUUCUACACACACACACAGAGUCAUCCUCUCAGGAAUGCCACUAAUACCAACUAUAGCUAAUAGUAUAGCAAAUAAAAUAAAAUAAACGAUAAAGUAACUCCGUUCGUAAAAGAACAUCGUGAGAUUUACUCACCUAGAAAUCUCGCUGUGUCUUCACAUAAAGUAAGAAUCAGUAUAAUAUCACAAAAUUUCACUCACAAAAGAUCUUGUUAAGCAACAAGGUCUCAACUUAGUAAAAAUGAAGCACAAAAGCGUUCAAUGUCCGAAACAUGAACUUAGGCUAAAAUCGAAGAUUUCGCUAAUCGAGAUGGACCUCAUCCGAGACCACCCAAGGUAUCCGGAACACUUCUAGGAUCAAUUGACAAAACAAAACAACAAUCCAACAGUGAGAUCCUCACAGAUCGAAAACCGAAUGAACCAAAGUUACAUUAAACCUAGUAUGUUUCAAACUAUAGAAUAGGACACAACCCAUAUAUAAACACGCUCAUAUCGACAAGUAGGAGAUAACGGAGCAAACAACAACUCCAAAAGAGGCUAGAUGCGCUGCCACACUGACCUCGAUUCCAAGGAAAUCUAGCCUGUCAAAAUGAAGAUCAUAGCAAAAGAAGUAACUUUUAUACUUGGGACUAAGGCCAAAUUGACCUGGAUCGAGCUAGAUCAAGCUUGAAAGCUAGAUCAACAAGAGAAAUUGAAAUCGAGAUCCUGAGCUCCACACUUCGAUUCGAGUUGUAAGGUUGCUAUAGAUGGAAUCAAGAGGAGAUCUUCAAGACCCGGGUGGUUUCGAGCCAAACCACCGCCGGAAAUAGAAGUUCAGACUGGGGCAGCAUCGUCAUGGAAGUCAACCCUCGAUCCGCCAUGUACUGCUUAAAUCGGCGCAGACCAGCUCGGUGGGGAGAACUGCGACGAUGAGGCGAGUCAAUCUGUGGUGGUGGCAUGAUCGGAGGUUGCCAGACGGCCGAGAAAAAACUGGGUCGGGUCGAGGGUUUCAAAGAGAGAAAAUGGUUUCCGAAAAAUUCUGGAAUCCUUCUAAAAAAGGAAAUCUGACUUUUUUUUUUCUUCUGAAAAUUCUAUAAUUAUAGAAAAUUUCCAAAAAUGAAAAGUCUUCCCCUGACCAUAACUUCUUUAUACGAUCUCGGAAUUUAGCGUGCCGCAUGUCCACGAACUCAUAUAUGCGCUCUAUGACAUUCAUAAAGAGUUUUCGGAGAAAUUCAACGAAUAAAAUGUCAACUCUUGACCACUUGAAUACACAACGUUUCGAAUAAUUAUUCGUCCUAAACACUUUCACAUCACUCACGAAAUAGCUAAAUCUACAAACCAAAACCUCACUAACUUCAAUUAAACAAUAAAAAAUUAAAAAUAAAUUUUCGGGAUAUUACACAAGGGUUGAAACAAAACAACUCAACUUAAAAGUAAUUUUUUCCACUAUUGGAUUUACAUCAAAGGGUGGUUGAACAUAGUUUCUUUAGUUAGUUACUGAUAAAGUAAACAUGCUCGAUGAAUUUAAAACCUCAACAUGAGUAAGCUGGAUUACCACACUCACUGUAUAGAUAAUGAGGUGCGGGCUAGCCUAUUUACAUACCUCGCUUGUGGUUCAUCACAUUAAGAAUUUUGAUGGAUUUGCAUGCGAGCAUUUUUUAUAAGUCAGAUACACAUUUCUUGUGGAACAAAGAGAUACACAUUGUGCUAAAAGGUACUUAGCUUUGGCUUUGAGGUCAGGUUCAUAUGUUGUCUCAAUGAUAUUAUGGGUUGAUCUGUUUGGUUGCUGGUAUAUGUGGCAUGGGUUGCAAGACUGGAAAAAUCUACUUGGAUUCGAUCGACGAUUAUGGGUUGAAAAUCCUAAAGUUUCAGACAUUUAUGAAUUUUGUGAUCAGUCUUCAGUUUAAUUGUUCUACCCCCGAUUCUGGUGAUACUGAUCGGUUGGUAGAAUGUGGCGACCGGUCAUGGAGAAUGUGGAGACCGGUCAUGGAGGGAAUAAUGUGAGUUCUGGGGUAGUACUGAGGGGCACAAGAAGGUUCACCUUGCUAAUUGGGACAUAAUCUGUAGACCUAAAAGUGUUGGUGGACUUGGUAUUAAAAAGACCUCAAUGAUGAAUGAAGCCAUGCUCUCUAAAAUUGGCUGGAGGUUGAUGCAACCUAGAGAAGGAUUGUGGCAGGAUGUCUUACAGAUGAAGUAUCUGAAGAAAGAUUCAUGUCAUGACCCUACUUACAAAAAUCCAUCUAGAUGUUCGAGUACUUGGAGGAGCAUCACUUUUGGUGUGGACUUAUUACGAAAGGGUUUAAUUUGGCCGGUCGACGAUGGUCAAAGAAUCUCCUUCUAGUUUGAUAAAUGGCUACAUUGUGGCCCCCUUACUGAUCAUGUUUCCCCCCUACUACCAUGGAUUCACAAUUCAAGGUUAGUAAUACUUAGAACCAAGAUGGAUAGGAUGUGAAUUAUCUUAAGAAUCACUUUAAUGUUGAUAUUGUUAAACCAUAUUGUCAGCAUUCCUGUUGGUUUUUUGAAUAGUGGUUUUGAUAUGAGAAUUUAGGGUGAAGCAUCAAAUGAGAAAUUUUCUGUCAAGUCAGCUUACCUUGCUCUUAUUAAGGAGGAAGAAUUCUCCAGUUAUAAAUGGAAGAGCAUUUGGAGUAUUUCUAUUCCUCCCAAACUCAAGACGUUUGCUUGGCUUGUGUCCCAUGGAAAUUUUUUUAACUAAUGUAGAGAGGACUAAGAGAUGUUUUACUACCGUAUCUACUUGCCCUAUUUGUCACAAGUACCCAGAAACUUUAAUCCAUCUCCUUAGGGAUUGUUCUAGAGCUAUGGAGGUUUGGAAAAAUGUUAUUUGUUUGGACAAGAUAAGUCGAGCUAUUAGCCUUAAUUGUUGGGGCUGGUUUGCUGCAAAUAUUCACUGCAAUGAUUAUUGCUAUAAUGGUUUGCAGUGGAACAGUAUCUUCAUCUAUACAUGCUGGUUUUUGUGGAAAUGGAGAAAUAAGUCAAUUUUUGAUGAAGAAUUUAAAAUGUCAUUUACACCAUAUCUACCGUAUCUACUUGCCCUAUUUGUCACAAGUACCCAGAAACUUUAAUCCAUCUCCUUAGGGAUUGUUCUAGAGCUAUGGAGGUUUGGAAAAAGGUUAUUUGUUUGGACAAGAUAAGUCGAGCUAUUAGCCUUAAUUGUUGGGGCUGGUUUGCUGCAAAUAUUCACUGCAAUGAUUAUUGCUAUAAUGGUUUGCAGUGGAACAGUAUCUUCAUCUAUACAUGUUGGUUUUUGUGGAAAUGGAGAAAUAAGUCAAUUUUUGAUGAAGAAUUUAAAAUGCCAUUUACACCAUAUAUACCGUAUCUACUUGCCCUAUUUGUCACAAGUACCCAUAAACUUUAAUCCAUCUCCUUAGGGAUUGUUCUAGAGCUAUGGAGGUUUGGAAAAAGGUUAUUUGUUUGGACAAGAUAAGUCGAGCUAUUAGCCUUAAUUGUUGGGGCUGGUUUGCUGCAAAUAUUCACUGCAAUGAUUAUUGCUAUAAUGGUUUGCAGUGGAACAAUAUCUUCAUCUAUACAUGCUGGUUUUUGUGGAAAUGGAAAAAUAAGUCAAUUUUUGAUGAAGAAUUUAAAAUGUCAUUUACACCAUGGAAAGUUAUAGUGGAUGCUACAUCUGAAUGGCAAGCUGCUCAAGGAAAAAAGAAUGAUGAAUUGAAUUUUUCUAUCAUUGAGCUGAAGUGGAAGUGCCCAGAUGAUGGUUGGUUCAAACUCAAUGUUGAUGGGGCUAGGAAAGCUCAGUCUUGUUGUAUAGGAGCUGGUGAUGUUUUUAGAGAUCACAAAGGAAAUUGGAUUUGUGGCUUCUGUGCUAGCCUUGGUGUUGGCCAGGUGAUUGAGGCUGAAGCUUGGGAGAUUUUUAUUGGCUUAAAAAUGACCUCUGAGAGAUAUAGAGGGAAAAUUAUUGUGGAGUGUGAUUCUGAGACCCUAAUGCUUCUCUUGAUUAAGGGAACUGAUGAACUCCAUCCUCUCUAUUCUAUUCUGAAAAGUUGCACAGCUUAUCUUAGUCUCUUCUUGGAAACUGAUAUACGCCAUAUCUAUAGGGAAGAAAAUAUGGUUGCUGAUGGUUUAUCCAAAUGUUGCUUGAAAGAUGAUUUCUGCAUAAACUAUCUUGAGCACCCUCCCAGGCCCGGACUUUAGAUUUUGAGGCUUAAGGCGAAAAAUAAAAAUGGGCCUAUAUUUUUCAUAGAAAAGAUAAAAAAAAAAUAGCCAAAAAUAUAUUUACAAAAAGAAUUGAAAAGAAAAAUAAAUACACAACAGAAAUAAGAUUCAAAGUUAAGCUAAGAGUAACAUAAAAGAAAGGAAUACAACUUGUCAACUAAACCAAUCUCAUUGUUUAGUAAAAGACUUGCAUUUUAUUUACUUAAUAAUUUUUUAAAAUAUCUCCAAAAAAAAAAAAAAGGCCCCGACGAGACAUUGGGCCUGAGACCGCCGACUCACGGGCCUCAUGUCAGGUCCGGCUCUACACCCUCCUCCACAAGUCAGGGAUAUUCUGCUUGAUGACCUUUGUGACAUUACCAGAAGUAGGACUAUUCUAGCCUGUUCUAGCCUUCUGAGCUAAGUUUCUUUUUUGUUAGGCCGUUUUGGCCUCCAUCCAACCAAAAAAAAUAGUAAUAGUAGUAGUAGAAAUAGUAAUAGUGUUCUGGGAAUUUUGUUGCGUUUCAACUUCGACGUUUCAAGUUUUUUCUUCUAAUCUUUUUUCAAUCUCCUUAACUAGAAAAGGUUAAUCGUAUUCCUGAGUAUUCGAUAAUAUCCUUUUCUUACAUUAAAUAGGAGACUCAGAAACUCUCAUAAAAUAGUAGGACUAAUAAUAGACUUCAUCAGCUUCCCCUGUAAUGAUACAUCUAAUAAACAUGCAUGCAUAGAUCACUUGGUACAAUGAAGGAAUUGCUUGUUUACGAUAAUGUUCACCUAGUCAUUAAUUGAUCAAUAACUUAUGCUCAAGAUAUAAAGGGAAAAUCGUCCGUAUAGUACCUGACUUUUUCUCCACAGAUUUGACAUUAAUCGAGUCGGAACGCCCAAUUACUCCGCCGCCUUCAUACAUUUUUUCUGCUUUUUUUUUAUUAUAUGAAAAAAAUUAACGAAAACAAAAACAAAAGGGUAUAUUGAUCAUUUAAUGAUCAAAAUCCUUCAGCUGUCAGUUUUUUGUAACGGAGCUAAAGGCAUGAGGUACCAUUCUUCGAUCGGGGAACCUCAGGUACCGUUCUAGUAUUAUCUGAACGUGAGGUACUGAAGUUGAGAAUGGGGAAAAAGUCAAGUAUUGUAUGGAUGAUUUUCCCGAAUAUAAAUCUAACACUGGAAAAUAAAACAACUCAACUUAAAAAUAAUUAUUUUAUCCAAGGGUACUAGAAAUAGAGAUAGAAAGAAGAAAUAACCAAGUCAAGAAGACAACAAGAUUUAAUGAAGUUCGGCAAUAUCCUUGCUUACGUCAUCGGAGAGUUUCACCUUCACUAAUGAGAGAAUUACAUAAGUACAAGAUUACACCUCUCAAUUUUAUACUCAACCUAAGCCCUUGUAUCCAAUAGGAUACCCCUUGCACACCCUCUCUCAACCCAGAAGAUCACUCUACCCCAAGAGUUAUUCACACUUUUGAACACAACUCACUUUGCUUCUAUACAUGAAGACCCUUAGAGUUGCUUUUUGCUCUCCUUGCUUGCCUCCACACAAGCUUCAUCUAUUUAUACCAUUGAUAGAAGUCUGGAGACUCGCUUCAUCAAUGCUCAUACAUGAAUCAACCACCCAUCUCCCACAUUAACUCCCUAGGAAGACUAAAAAAGUCAAACAUGAAUUUAACUAUGCAUUUCUUCCCAAUGCAUCAACUUGACCAUGCAUUUAUACCCAAUGCAUGCACUUGACCGUGCACCAAUUUUCCAUUCAUAAGUUGUCACCUUGAAUGCACAAACAAUUAAUACUAUGCAUUCAUGUCAUGCAAAAGAUCUCCACCAAGGAGGGAUAGGCACCAAACCCGACAAAUUGAGCAUAAUUUCCUUAGUCAGGUGAAUACCAUUGUGCUUCUUUAUUAUGGAGAACCUUUGGACCAUUAAGGAUUUGGAUAAUGAUUAAGUUGGGCUUCACAUUCAAAUCUAAUGGCAAUAAAUGGAGUGGCCAAAAUCUUUAUAAAUUCAUAUGCAAGGUCUCCAUUUUUCCAUGUAGGAUCUAUAUUUAUAAAACAUAAUCCAUUAGUCAGUUGACAUUCAAGCUUCAUUGUAUCUCUUGAAGCAAACCUGUUUUAGCAUCUCAAUCCUGGAUAGAAAAAUGAUUGAGAUACCAAAUUUAUGUUAUGUCCCAAAUGAUGUGGCAUUAGCCACAUCAUUUCCAAUGUGGAUUCCAAAUGCCACAUGGAUUCACUUAAUUUCCAUAUUUACAUUUAAAUUUUAUUAACUGAAUUUUUAAAUUUAUUUAUUUUUUUCUAAAGAAAAAUUUUACUUAUAGAAAAUUUUCAUUCUCUGCAUCUCUUUUGUGAGGGUAAGAACACACAACAAACCUCAAAAGGUCGAUACAAAUUUUUUUUCUCAAAUCUUCAAAACCAUUAUUGCAAGUUUGAACUUUACAUUGUACAACUUGGGUUUAUAUUGAUCUUAGGGCAUGUGUGUAUGUAUAUGAUGAUUGCUAAAGAAGAUCAACCAUGGAAAUAACAUAUCAUUAUAAUUCGAAAAAACAUAACCCAAAACCCAUCAAACUGCAAAGAAAAUCAUUGUUCAAAAGAAUCAGAAUUUUAUCAACUGCAUGUGUUCGCUAAAUUGGAGUUCACAAAUGUGAGUUAUUAUUGACCACCAAAGAUCUGCCAUAGUUUUUCAUGAAGCUUUAUGUUUGUAGAGGAGUUCAUGGUGGCAAUUUCAGUUGUUUUAAGGG